This 257-nucleotide ribosomal RNA is filed under the name uncultured prokaryote. Its description in RNAcentral is "partial 16S ribosomal RNA". It matches the Rfam family "Bacterial small subunit ribosomal RNA", at positions 524 to 780 of the family's 1533-position model. The record is from RNAcentral.
UACGUAGGGUGCAAGCGUUGUCCGGAAUUAUUGGGCGUAAAGAGCUCGUAGGCGGCUUGUCGCGUCUGCUGUGAAAUCCCGGGGCUCAACCCCGGGCGUGCAGUGGGUACGGGCAGGCUAGAGUGCGGUAGGGGAGAUUGGAAUUCCUGGUGUAGCGGUGGAAUGCGCAGAUAUCAGGAGGAACACCGAUGGCGAAGGCAGAUCUCUGGGCCGCUACUGACGCUGAGGAGCGAAAGCAUGGGAAGCGAACAGGAUUA